Molecule: transfer RNA, 72 nt
Filed under: Candidatus Hodgkinia cicadicola Dsem
Lineage: Bacteria; Pseudomonadati; Pseudomonadota; Alphaproteobacteria; Hyphomicrobiales
Description: tRNA-Sup (TCA) (tRNA-Sup-TCA-1-1)
Rfam family: tRNA
About the family: Transfer RNA (tRNA) molecules are approximately 80 nucleotides in length. Their secondary structure includes four short double-helical elements and three loops (D, anti-codon, and T loops).
Source: RNAcentral
GUGGGCAUAGCUUAAGCGGUAAAGCCGCGGUCUUCAAAACCGCAGUCACGGGUUCGAGUCCUGUUGUCCUCG